UGAACGCUAGCGGCAGGCUUAACACAUGCAAGUCGAGGGGUAGAAGCAGCUUGCUGCUUUGAGACCGGCGCACGGGUGCGUAACGCGUAUACAAUCUACCUUUACAGAGGGAUAGCCCAGAGAAAUUUGGAUUAAUACCUCAUAGUAUUUUCGAAUCGCAUGAUUUGAUUAUUAAAGUUCCAACGGUAAAAGAUGAGUAUGCGUCCCAUUAGCUAGAUGGUAAGGUAACGGCUUACCAUGGCAACGAUGGGUAGGGGUCCUGAGAGGGAGAUCCCCCACACUUGUACUGAGACACGGACCAGACUCCUACGGGAGGCAGCAGUGAGGAAUAUUGGACAAUGGGCGCAAGCCUGAUCCAGCCAUGCCGCGUGCAGGAAGACGGUCCUAUGGAUUGUAAACUGCUUUUAUACAGGAAGAAACACCUCUACGUGUAGAGACUUGACGGUACUGUAUGAAUAAGCAUCGGCUAACUCCGUG
RNAcentral lists this ribosomal RNA (477 nucleotides) under uncultured bacterium. RNAcentral's name for it is "bacterial SSU rRNA". It matches the Rfam family "Bacterial small subunit ribosomal RNA", at positions 30 to 507 of the family's 1533-position model. The record is from RNAcentral.